RNAcentral lists this ribosomal RNA (206 nucleotides) under uncultured bacterium. RNAcentral describes it as "partial 16S ribosomal RNA". It matches the Rfam family "Bacterial small subunit ribosomal RNA", at positions 568 to 774 of the family's 1533-position model. The record is from RNAcentral.
CUCGUAGGCGGUUCGUCGCGUCCGGUGUGAAAGUCCAUCGCUUAACGGUGGAUCCGCGCCGGGUACGGGCGGGCUUGAGUGCGGUAGGGAGACUGGAAUUCCCGGUGUAACGGUGGAAUGUGUAGAUAUCGGGAAGAACACCAAUGGCGAAGGCAGGUCUCUGGGCCGUUACUGACGCUGAGGAGCGAAAGCGUGGGGAGCGAACA